CGUCUAUCGGAAUUUUGUUGUAUUAUCGGUACAACUCUCAAUUCCGUAACGAGCAGCUAUAAGCGCUCCUUAGCAGACAAAAUUUUGUCUGUUUAAUGAUUAGAUAUUAAUAUCAUUUCGUUUAUUGAGUAAAUUUCCAAAUUUUAUUAAUAAGAACAAAAUGGCUGGAAAAGUAAAUAAAGAAGCAGAGAACUUGAAAGGUUUUUUAAAAUAUUUUAAUAGCGUAACCCUACAGGGACGAGCAAACGUAGCUAUGACAACGUAUGCUUGCUUAGCUGUACUUGGAUGUUAUCUCUAUUUCAAACCAAAGAAAGCUGCGACUAAAUAAGAAAAUGAAAGCAUACAAUCAUCUUAUAUAAUGAUUUUGUCCAUAAAUUAGACAAACUCUGCAAUGCCAAAAUUUUUAUUGUUUUUUACUAUAAUAGAAUAUUUUAAAUAUAAAUAUAACUUUUAAAAUUGAUAUCCAAAUAUUUGAACAAAUGGUAUGUACUACUAUAUUAGAAAAUUUACAUUUUAAUGAAUAUAUUUAAUACUAGUGCAAUUCUAUUUUUAUGUUUAUUGGAUGUAGACAUAUACGAGAUAUCUUGUAAUUGAUAUAAGUGAAUAGGAGUUGAUGUUACAUGAAAAACUAAAUAAAAAUGUAAAAUACUAUUUUUUCA
Long non-coding RNA from Polistes canadensis, 659 nucleotides. RefSeq lists it as uncharacterized. The record is from RefSeq and is a predicted model, not a curated record. The transcript is spliced from 3 exons. Lineage: Eukaryota; Metazoa; Arthropoda; Insecta; Hymenoptera; Vespidae.